RNAcentral lists this long non-coding RNA (800 nucleotides) under Malus domestica (apple). RNAcentral describes it as "long non-coding RNA (MDOM_LNC007684)". Lineage: Eukaryota; Viridiplantae; Streptophyta; Magnoliopsida; Rosales; Rosaceae. The record is from RNAcentral.
AGCGACCCCAUCCGCCACACAAGCAGCGACCCCAUCCGCCACCCCAGCAGCGACCCCAUCCGCCUCCUCUGAGGCUCCCAAGUCCUCGGCUUCAUCAACCUCUCCGUCCUCCGCCCCCACCACCUCCUCCUCCUCCUCCCCAUCCAGCUAUCCAUCAUCCGACUCUCCACCCUCACCACCCACCUCCACUCCCGCCUCCGGCCCAUCCUCCGACGUCACCUCUUCUGCUCCUACCGAGUCGACUACGUCUGCUGAGGCUCCCGCCCCAUCUGGUGCAGCCGUGAACAGAGGCUUCUCUGCCGGUUCCGUGGUCGCCGUCGUCAUCGCGGCGUCGUUUUUGGCCUAGAUGUGUUUUGCGGACGAGGCCUUUAUCCGCUGGUUCGGUCACCGAGAGAGAGAUGCAGCAGGCGGAUCUUGAGUUUCGUAUAUUAGCGGGUAGAAUUUAACUACUAUUUUUGGUUUUUUAGUUUUUUUCAAUAAGGUGGGUUAUUAUUGGUGAUGGAGAUAUUAUUUGGACGGUGUUGAUUUGAUCGGACGGUGGUUCUACGGCAGAUGAUUACUCCAUCGGCCUUAAUUAUUAAUUAUAAUUAUUAUUAUUAACUUCAUCAUUACUGUUGCUAAUGAUGAUGACUAUGGAGAUUCUUUUGUUAUGAUCUAAUGAUAUAUAUUAAUUAUAUUUAAUUCGUUGAGUUUAAUAUGUUUGAUUUAAGCAUGGUUGUGUUUCUUUCUUUGUUUAAGGACUCUCUGCGCCGUUUAAUUAACUCAUUUUAUGUGAGUAGUGACCUUAAUUAUUAAUUCGA